AUGUAUUUAUCCACAAUUAUGAUAUCACAUCAUAACUACUACCCUCCUACUACUACUUCAUCUAAAGGAGCACAAACACAUAAUAAAAGCAAGAUCAGCUACUCCAACAAGGCUCAUACCACUGAAAUUAUCAUCUAUUCUAUUGAAUCCAAAUCAUUCUCCCAUGAUGAUUUUGUACUCGUAACAUUCUUGGGGAGGGCUGGCAAAAUCAUCAAAGUCUACCAACUACAAUCCGUUUGUAUGAUCUCCAUACUCAUAUCCAUAUGGCGUGCAUACAAGCUAUUAAGUUUAGGUCAAAAUAUCACAAAUCCAGGUGUUCAUGUUAUCUCCAACCUAGAAUCCGAUUGGUAA
RNAcentral lists this ribosomal RNA (351 nucleotides) under Triticum aestivum (bread wheat). RNAcentral's name for it is "partial small subunit ribosomal RNA". The record is from RNAcentral. Lineage: Eukaryota; Viridiplantae; Streptophyta; Magnoliopsida; Poales; Poaceae.